Molecule: ribosomal RNA, 740 nt
Filed under: uncultured bacterium
Lineage: Bacteria
Description: bacterial SSU rRNA
Rfam family: Bacterial small subunit ribosomal RNA
Source: RNAcentral
UCGAACGAGAAAGUGGAGCAAUCCAUGAGUAAAGUGGCGACCGGGUGAGUAACACGUGACUACCUACCCUUGAGUGGGGGAUAACCUCGGGAAACCGAGGCUAAUACCGCAUAAUAUCGAAAGAUCAAAGGAGCAAUCCGCUUUUGGAGGGGGUCGCGGCUGAUUAGCUAGUUGGUAGGGUAAUGGCCUACCAAGGCGAAGAUCGGUAUCCGGCCUGAGAGGGCGCACGGACACACUGGAACUGAAACACGGUCCAGACUCCUACGGGAGGCAGCAGUGGGGAAUUUUGCGCAAUGGGGGAAACCCUGACGCAGCAACGCCGCGUGGAGGAUGAAGUCCUUCGGGACGUAAACUCCUUUCGAUCGGGACGAUUAUGACGGUACCGGAAGAAGAAGCCCCGGCUAACUUCGUGCCAGCAGCCGCGGUAAUACGAGGGGGGCGAGCGUUGUUCGGAAUUAUUGGGCGUAAAGGGUGCGUAGGCGGUUUGGUAAGUCUUAUGUGAAAUCUAUGGGCUCAACUCAUAGACUGCAUGAGAAACUGCCGGGCUUGAGUAUGGGAGAGGUGAGUGGAAUUCCUGGUGUAGCGGUGAAAUGCGUAGAUAUCAGGAGGAACACCUGUGGCGAAAGCGGCUCACUGGACCAUAACUGACGCUGAUGCACGAAAGCUAGGGGAGCAAACAGGAUUAGAUACCCUGGUAGUCCUAGCCCUAAACGAUGACUGCUUGGUGUGACGGGUACCCA